AUUGAACGCUGGCGGCAUGCCUUACAUAUGCAAGUCGAACGGCAGCACGGGAGCAAUCCUGGUGGCGAGUGGCGAACGGGUGAGUAAUAUAUCGGAACGUGCCCGGUCGUGGGGGAUAACGUAGCGAAAGCUACGCUAAUACCGCAUACGAUCUACGGAUGAAAGCGGGGAUCGCAAGACCUCGCGCGAUUGGAGCGGCCGAUAUCAGAUUAGGUAGUUGGUGAGGUAAAGGCUCACCAAGCCGACGAUCUGUAGCUGGUCUGAGAGGACGACCAGCCACACUGGGACUGAGACACGGCCCAGACUCCUACGGGAGGCAGCAGUGGGGAAUUUUGGACAAUGGGCGCAAGCCUGAUCCAGCAAUGCCGCGUGCAGGAUGAAGGCCUUCGGGUUGUAAACUGCUUUUGUACGGAACGAAACGGUGAGCUCUAAUACAGUUUGCUAAUGACGGUACCGUAAGAAUAAGCACCGGCUAACUACGUG
RNAcentral lists this ribosomal RNA (483 nucleotides) under uncultured bacterium. Its description in RNAcentral is "bacterial SSU rRNA". It matches the Rfam family "Bacterial small subunit ribosomal RNA", at positions 30 to 507 of the family's 1533-position model. The record is from RNAcentral.